RNAcentral lists this ribosomal RNA (492 nucleotides) under uncultured bacterium. Its description in RNAcentral is "partial 16S ribosomal RNA". It matches the Rfam family "Bacterial small subunit ribosomal RNA", at positions 29 to 507 of the family's 1533-position model. The record is from RNAcentral.
AGUGAACGCUGGCGGUAGGCCUAACACAUGCAAGUCGAACGGCAGCACAGUAAAAGCUUGCUCUUACGGGUGGCGAGUGGCGGACGGGUGAGGAAUACAUCGGAAUCUACUUUUUCGUGGGGGAUAACGUAGGGAAACUUACGCUAAUACCGCAUACGACCUACGGGUGAAAGCAGGGGAUCUUCGGACCUUGCGCGAUUGAAUGAGCCGAUGUCGGAUUAGCUAGUUGGCGGGGUAAAGGCCCACCAAGGCGACGAUCCGUAGCUGGUCUGAGAGGAUGAUCAGCCACACUGGAACUGGGACACGGUCCAGACUCCUACGGGAGGCAGCAGUGGGGAAUAUUGGACAAUGGGCGCAAGCCUGAUCCAGCCCUACCGCGUGGGUGAAGAAGGCCUUCGGGUUGUAAAGCCCUUUUGUUGGGAAAGAAAAGCAGCAGGUUAAUACCCCGCUGUUCUGACGGUACCCAAAGAAUAAGCACCGGCUAACUUCGUG